AUUACAUUUCAUUUUGCUAUAUUCCUUUAUUUUACUAUUAUUUCCUUCCCUCUCUUCUUUAGUCUGUCAAUCCCAUUCCCCCUCCCUACACAGAGUAGCAUGCCAGGGUAUACAGACGCCGGCAAAAAUCUGUUUUUCUAAUAAAGAGUCCCUCUCUCUACAUGUAUGCAAAACUUCUUUCAGGUGUACAAGUUGAUCGCAUUACAAAAGAUGUGGCCACACAAGUGAAAAUGGCAUCGCCAGUUCAGUGUACUUGUGUUGACAAUGAAAUGGUUGGCGAACCUGCACCUAUACAAGACAGCGAUGAUGACUACAGCCCUCUUGAUGACCAGCAUUGAUGAGUACGUUAAUAUUUUCACACUACUAUUCUGGAAUGAUUAUGUGUAUUACUCGUAGUUAACAUUUAGACAUUAACAUUUAGACUAUCCUGGAAUGUCAAAAGUCGCACAAAAAUAUUUAGCUUAGUUGGCUUUUUCUCCAAGCUUUUUGCGUUGUUCUGUGGUUUCUGCAAGAACACAGGUGCCUGUGUAGAAGCAGCUGGCACUGACCAGCACCAAGGCAAUCGAGUAUUUUUCGUACAAGAGGAACACUUAACAAAGCUUCUGACAGUCUCCCACACAUGCCUGGCCCCUUGCAAGCAAGUGGACGUCGAAUGCAAUGGAACAGUUGUGCACGUUCACACAGAAUGCUUUGCUGGGCACCAUUUCAUUUGGCAGAACCAGCAUAUAUAUCGGCAACAACCCGUGUUGAACUUAGAGCUGUGUGCCACAGUGUUGUUUUCAGGCAACAAACCGACUUCCUGUCUGAGAAUGCUGGCCUCCAUCGGUGUCCAAGUGGUCAGUGAGAGAACUUUUUUCGCCCUUCAGAGAAGCUAUUUAAGUAGACUGCACAACAACUGUCGAGCUAUUUUCUUAAAAGAUAAAUACACAAUGUUCAGUGCUUAUAGGUUUGGAGAGCUCAGCAGCAACGUUUGCUCCAGGAAGCCCGUGGAAGGUCGCUUACUCUGGCAGGGGAUGGACGAGCAGAGUCCCCAGGGUACAGUGCCAAGUUCAGCACAUACACACUGCUGAACGUGGAGACAAAAAAGAUAACUCAUUUUGAACUUGUGCAAGUGUCUCGAAAAAACUCCUUGCUGCUGCGAAGCAGUCUGGUUGUGGGGAUCUCGGCCCAUGGGUCAAAUCGAUUGAAAACCACCUGUACUGGUCGGCUGCUUCAAGUGCAGGCCACAAGAAUCUCACUGUGCCGAAGUGGCUUUCCAUGCUCAAUCACAUACGGAACAUUCCUGUUCACGAAAAUAACCUCUUUGCCGCUUGCCUUCAUGGAGACGUUGAACCAAAAGAAUGGCUGGAUGGAGACUCCAAGUCCUUCAGAAUACUCAGCGACAUAGCUAAAGCCAAGCCAGUGCUCGCUGACAUGCCCCAGCUUUCAACGUCACUUCAAACAUAUGGCGUCGAAGUUUUCCACAGCCUUCUUCUACACUUCGCGCCAAAGUUCUGCCAGUAUUCUUAUAAAGGAAUGAAAGCCAGGUAAAUGUUUCACUACUGCUUUUUAUUCUGAGAGUACUAUUAAGAAGCCUAGAGCUGGCCCUUACAUUACAGUUUUUCAUUUCAGCAAGGUCUGGACUAUAUUUGAAACAAAGAUGCACUAGUGUUUUUGAUUCAUGCAGCAUAAAAUGUUUUACCUUUUUGCAUGUACCAACAAAAGUGUGCACUGUGGACUGGGCGGCAAGAUGACAGCACAUGUAAUAACUUGCGGCUGAAGCUUAUCAGAAGCCAAAAGCACACAUAUACACAAUCAAGCCAGGUGCGCAGAAUGCACCAUGCGUGAAUGGCCACACAUUCCAUCGUCAUGAUAGAAAGCAUACAGUGGAACGAAAACUAAUCAUGGCAGUCUUUCUAAAUGCAUUUCUCCUUUGCCAUGCAGUUAUACUGACCUUCUCAUUCUUUCCAAUAUGAAAAGCUUCUAAUUGCUUAUACACGAGCACAUCUCCACUGUUAACCAGAGUUCGGAUGCUAGAGAGUGAAGUCUCAUAGACACGGGCCUCACAGUGCACUUGUAAAUGCGAUAAGGCAUAAUUCUUGACACACAGCUCAUAUUGCAAUGCUCGAUCGUUGAUGCAGGCUUUUGCGCAUAAAGCAUAAUUCUGUUUGUGUGUGCACACUGUUGGUACUUGAUCGAUCAACCUUAAUUUCAAGUUAGAAUGUGUUCUGUCUGUACUUUAACCCCUUUAUUUUGAUUGUAUGUCUGCUUUGAUCAUCUGCUAAAAAUAACUGUGAGGCACUGCUCUUCGGGACUCGGCUUGCUGCGCUUCAUUACAAUGAAAAUAGUGAACGGCAGCAAGCUUGCACGAAGGAAGGUGCUUUUCGAUGGAACAUGAGAUACCCGAAGGCUAGGCGAGGUGAACCUGUUGUGUGCCGCGUGAAGGAAGAGGCCACGCGUGGUAGAUUAACCAAAUUUAUGCGCAAGAAAGUCAUAUAAUCUUUCAACAU
Molecule: long non-coding RNA, 2489 nt
Organism: Rhipicephalus sanguineus (brown dog tick)
Lineage: Eukaryota; Metazoa; Arthropoda; Arachnida; Ixodida; Ixodidae
Exons: 3
Source: RefSeq, a predicted model, not a curated record